RNAcentral lists this ribosomal RNA (663 nucleotides) under uncultured cyanobacterium. RNAcentral's name for it is "bacterial SSU rRNA". It matches the Rfam family "Bacterial small subunit ribosomal RNA", at positions 99 to 795 of the family's 1533-position model. The record is from RNAcentral. Lineage: Bacteria; Bacillati; Cyanobacteriota.
CGGACGGGUGAGUAACGCGUGAGAAUCUGCCUAGAGGAUGGGGACAACCACGGGAAACUGUGGCUAAUACCCAAUGAGCGGAGACGUUAAAGAUUUAUCGCCUCUAGAGGAGCUCGCGUCUGAUUAGCUAGUUGGUGGGGUAAAAGCCUACCAAGGCGACGAUCAGUAGCUGGUCUGAGAGGACAACCAGCCACACUGGGACUGAGACACGGCCCAGACUCCUACGGGAGGCAGCAGUGGGGAAUUUUCCGCAAUGGGCGAAAGCCUGACGGAGCAAUACCGCGUGAGGGAGGAAGGCUCUUGGGUCGUAAACCUCUUUUCUCAGGGAAGAAGAAAGUGACGGUACCUGAGGAAUCAGCCUCGGCUAACUCCGUGCCAGCAGCCGCGGUAAUACGGAGGAGGCAAGCGUUAUCCGGAAUUAUUGGGCGUAAAGCGUCCGUAGGUGGCUCUUCAAGUCUGCUGUCAAAGAGUGGGGCUUAACUCCAGAAAGGCAGUGGAAACUGAAAGGCUAGAGAUCCGUAGGGGUAGAGGGAAUUCCCGGUGUAGCGGUGAAAUGCGUAGAGAUCGGGAAGAACAUCGGUGGCGAAAGCGCUCUACUGGACGGUAUCUGACACUGAGGGACGAAAGCUAGGGGAGCGAAUGGGAUUAGAUACCCCAGUAGUC